CCUCCGUACAGACAGCAGCAAGAUGGCUGGAAGGCUUGGUCUAGAAACUCCAAGGAAGAAAGGUUGAUGAAAGCAAAUAUGUAGAAGAGAAAUGGUAGCGGCACAAGGAUUAGGACCUCUUCUAUAUUUGAUGGAAUCUGAAAAAAAGAUCUGUGAAGGAAUAUGGUGUCGUACUAGGGUUAGUACCUCCCCUAAACUUAUGGAGAAGAAGAAGAGAG
This 218-nucleotide long non-coding RNA is filed under the name Elaeis guineensis (African oil palm). RNAcentral's name for it is "long non-coding RNA (EGUI_LNC079281)". Lineage: Eukaryota; Viridiplantae; Streptophyta; Magnoliopsida; Arecales; Arecaceae. The record is from RNAcentral.